Molecule: ribosomal RNA, 467 nt
Filed under: Oceanobacillus sp.
Lineage: Bacteria; Bacillati; Bacillota; Bacilli; Caryophanales; Bacillaceae
Description: bacterial SSU rRNA
Rfam family: Bacterial small subunit ribosomal RNA
Source: RNAcentral
AGUCGAGCGCAGGAAGCAAGUUGAUCCCCUUCGGGGGUGACGCUUGUGGAAUGAGCGGCGGACGGGUGAGUAACACGUGGGCAACCUGCCUGUAAGACUGGGAUAACCCCGGGAAACCGGGGCUAAUACCGGAUAAUACUUUCUUUUGCAUAAAGGAAAGUUGAAAGGCGGCUUCGGCUGUCACUUACAGAUGGGCCCGCGGCGCAUUAGCUAGUUGGUGAGGUAACGGCUCACCAAGGCGACGAUGCGUAGCCGACCUGAGAGGGUGAUCGGCCACACUGGGACUGAGACACGGCCCAGACUCCUACGGGAGGCAGCAGUAGGGAAUCUUCCGCAAUGGACGAAAGUCUGACGGAGCAACGCCGCGUGAGUGAUGAAGGUUUUCGGAUCGUAAAACUCUGUUGNUAGGGAAGAACAAGUUGGAUAGUAACUGAUCCAACCUUGACGGUACCUAACCAGAAAGCCAC